ACCGUUCUCAGUCAAGUGUAUUCGAGUAGCUGCACUCCCCUGCUAGAACCUCCAAACAAGCUCUCAAGAAGGAGAGAGGAACGGGGCCUGC
Molecule: small RNA, 91 nt
Filed under: Vicugna pacos (alpaca)
Lineage: Eukaryota; Metazoa; Chordata; Mammalia; Artiodactyla; Camelidae
Description: 7SK RNA (ENSVPAG00000017435.1)
Source: RNAcentral